This is a long non-coding RNA of Cyprinus carpio carpio, 2766 nucleotides long. NCBI's taxonomy places the organism in Eukaryota, Metazoa, Chordata, Actinopteri, Cypriniformes, Cyprinidae. The record is from Ensembl.
UGAUGUAAGUUGAAGUACUGAACGAACCCUGUCAUAUGAAGCAGAGCAGUUUAAUGUGUGUCUGAAAAGGAUGUCGUGAAUAACCUUUAGCCAAACGUCUCCAUGGGAACCUGAGGGGUGGUUAUUUCAUUCGUUGCAUCUCCAGGCAAAUGUUUUCAAGACGUAUCGAGUUCUCUUUAAAUGUAACAAGCAGUAAGUUACCUCCAAUAGAAGCUAACGGUACGACGAACUACACGCAGCAGACGACGUCCCGGUGUAUUAACGUCGAGGCCAGUAAGCUGAAUUGUUUAUUGACAGGCGUUUUGAAGGAUGACAUCAACAACAUGCUGUCCAGCUCCAUGUCAUAACAGAAAUGCGUUGACCUGGCUUCUAUGCCCAAACAUUGAUCAUGUGUCCUCUGCAUUGCAAAUUCUUGUUCACCUUGCUCAGGAGGACAAAGGUGAACUUGUCGAAAAGGUUCUUCAGCACUGCAACCCAGAAUUAUGCAUAGAUGCUCUUCGAAAACUGCUGAAGUCACCUGCCUCAUGGCUGAGUAGUACUGGAGCUUGUAUCUUUGGGGUCCUGCUGGAAAAUGAGUCCAUGGUGCUGAAACUUCAGAAGGGGACCAAAGGGGAAAGCAAUCUCAUAUGUGACCUUGUUCAGAUGUUUACUGAAGAUGAUCCUGAUGUUGUGAUGAAUGCUGCUGGAGCCAUAGCCUCAUUGGUUGAAACUACAUCAGGACGGACAUGGUUCCUUCAGAUCCAAAGUGUGUUCAGUGGGGUCCUUGAGAGCCUAUCAGUUCUUCUAGAGAAUGAGAGAGAGAAUACGGUUAACUCUGCAGCACUUAUUCUUGCACGACUGUCCCAGUGUGAAGAAACCUGUGAAAAGGUUUUAUCCCAUUCAUCUGCCUGCAAGAUCUUCAGAUGUUUAACACAAUGCUUGUCGUGUAGUCACAAAGACACAGCCAUGAAUGCGGCAUUUGCUGUUGGCCGUCUGUGUGGUAGCAAACAAGCCAAGAUCCUCAUUCUGAGAGUGGCCAAAGAGCAUCAGCUGGUUAGUCGCCUGCAGACUCUGCUGUUGAGUGGGUCAGGAGUGGAGAUGGGGCAAACAGUGUGCUUUGCUCUGAGCUGCUUAGCAAAUGAGGAAGAUGGCCAUGCUCUGCUGAUGGAAAGCACCUGUGUCCCUACAUUGCUGAAUGGUCUUUUACAGCUGUUGCAGAGCCCAGACCCAGACAGUAUCUGGUUUGCUGCUAUGACAGUACGAAUACUGGUUUCCCGGCCGAGUGGAGUGGUCCCUGUCAGGAUCCAUUGCUCUCUGCAUGAGCAGUUGAAGAUUCUCUCUAUGUCACCAUCCACUGGGCUAGAGCUGCAGGAGGAGGUCAACAUGUGUCUCAGGAAACUGGAGCGUUUAUCCAAACCACAUCCAGUGAUGGUUACAAACCUCUCAUCAACGAGCUGCACUGUAUCAUGGGAAAAGUGUAGACCUGAAAGUGGCCUGGAGGUCAUAUACAGUCUCUUUCACAAGGAUGUCAUGCUGUACCAUGGCCUGUUGUGUCAGAGCAGCUGGACACGAGACUUUAGCCUCCACGAGAGCUCUGUGUGAUUGGCUCUACAGCUACACAGGUACGCCUGUGCUGGAUAGAACCAGAGGGAGGAGCCAAACCCAAAUCAUACCAGAUCUACUGUAAUGACACACUGGUGAAGACCACUGCUCUGCUGGGGGCUACAGUUGGCUGUUUAUCUCCUGGCACCUCCUAUCAGCUGAGUGUGAGUUCACUUGGUCCAGGGGACACAGAGAGUCCUAGAGCAGUAACUGAGGUGAGGACAGCGGAAGAUCAAGAUCAUGCUCCUUCUGCGGUCACUGUAGUUGUCCUGGGACGACAUGAACUGCAGAUAAACUGGGGAGCUCCAGUCGCUCCUUUGGGGAGACUCUUCAAAUAUGAGCUAAGUCUAAAUGGGUGUGUGGUGUACCUGGGCACAGAAAGGUCAUACACUGCUUGUCGCCUGUCUGCUAACACAGCAUACACCUGUGUUGUGACAGCUAUCACCUCCAGGGGGCGCUGCCAGAGCAGUCCGGUCACAAAGAAGACAGCACGGGAUGAAUUCCUGCACUCACAUAGGUAUCUGCACUCUCAUAGCCACCAGUCAGCCUCAAAACACUCCACUCCUUCUUCAAGCAUCCAAGUGAUAAGUGAAGUCAAAAAGAAUGACACAGUUUCUCCAGCUACACUCAAUUCUAAGGUCCAUCCCACUAUGAUCCCGCACAGAGCCCUUGACCUUAGAAAAGACAGGCACAGGCAAACAUCAGUUCCUAAAGGGAUUCAACCUUCCAGUCACACAUCUAAGGAACAUUAUGAGUACAUGUUCCGGUCCUUGACCAUAUCAUCAACCCCAGAGGAUCUCAGACACUUUAAGGCCAAGAUCAGCCCAGCCAGACCGCAGUGGAACUCAGACAGAAAAGUUCCCAUAGACAGAGAGAAACUUCCAGGCAUCAGCAAACAAAUCUCAGAGGAUGUGAGACUGCUUCAGCCUGUUUCGUUUAGUUGGUCUAAUCUGGAAUGGACCAAACAACAUCAAAACAGACCACAAAGAAAUAAAGCCAUUUUGAAGGUCCAAUGUCAGGAAAGAGGAAGACGAUAUCAAAUAUCAUCACAAACCAAACUCACGUAACAAAUUGUGGACAUCUAGGCUACCAAAAUCAGUGUUUAUAUUAAUACAUAUUUAUUUUAUUUGAAUAUAAAUGAAUGGAUUUAAGAUGUUUCUUUCUCAAUAAUUAACAAAAUCUCAG